CAGUCGCCGCGGGAAUACGGAGGGUGCAAGCGUUAUCCGGAUUUAUUGGGUUUAAAGGGUCCGUAGGCGGACUUAUAAGUCAGUGGUGAAAGCCUGUCGCUUAACGAUAGAACUGCCAUUGAUACUGUAAGUCUUGAGUAUAUUUGAGGUAGCUGGAAUAAGUAGUGUAGCGGUGAAAUGCAUAGAUAUUACUUAGAACACCAAUUGCGAAGGCAGGUUACCAAGAUAUAACUGACGCUGAGGGACGAAAGCGUGGGUAGCGAACAGGAUUAGAGACCCCAGUAGUCCCUGUCUCUUAUAA
Molecule: ribosomal RNA, 301 nt
Filed under: uncultured bacterium
Lineage: Bacteria
Description: partial 16S ribosomal RNA
Rfam family: Bacterial small subunit ribosomal RNA
Source: RNAcentral